CCGACCUUAGCUCAGUUGGUAGAGCGGAGGACUGUAGUCGGUGCAGAUAAUCCUUAGGUCGCUGGUUCGAAUCCGGCAGGUCGGA
RNAcentral lists this transfer RNA (85 nucleotides) under Oryza longistaminata (longstamen rice). RNAcentral describes it as "tRNA tRNA-Tyr". It matches the Rfam family "tRNA". From Rfam's summary of the family: Transfer RNA (tRNA) molecules are approximately 80 nucleotides in length. Their secondary structure includes four short double-helical elements and three loops (D, anti-codon, and T loops). The record is from RNAcentral. Lineage: Eukaryota; Viridiplantae; Streptophyta; Magnoliopsida; Poales; Poaceae.